AUUAGAAUUAAAUUAAUGUGGUUGACUAAUCCUGCCAGUUAAAACUCUGCAGGUACAAUGUAGUUUUGAUGUUGCAGAACAUGGAUCUUGUUAUGGUGCACGGGGAAAAGCUGCUGAUAUUUGUGAUCUACCCUGUUUUUGAAAGUUAUAUAAAGGUUCAUCAUUCAAAUGAUCUUAGUCAUCUACUGCAAAUGGAGAAACUAUUCUGUGUCUCUACUGUCAGAACUGCUUCUGAAGUUUUUUGCUCAUAUUUUUGUUCUCUUGAAGGCAGGCUUUCAGAGGUGCAAAGUGCAGAGGCACUGUGUGUUCCAGUGGUUCAAAGACUGAUCCUAAAUACCGAAAGAAAUUAG
Molecule: long non-coding RNA, 350 nt
Filed under: Coturnix japonica (Japanese quail)
Lineage: Eukaryota; Metazoa; Chordata; Aves; Galliformes; Phasianidae
Description: lncRNA (ENSCJPG00005020959.1)
Source: RNAcentral